UAGUGGCGGACGGGUGAGUAACGCGUGGGAAUCUGCCCUCAGGAGGGGGAUAACGGUUGGAAACGACCGCUAAUACCCCAUAUGCCGAGAGGNGAAACGAAAUUCGCCUGAGGAUGAGCCCGCGUCUGAUUAGCUAGUUGGNGGGGUAAGGGCCUACCAAGGCAUCGAUCAGUAGCUGGUCUGAGAGGAUGAUCAGCCACACUGGGACUGAGACACGGCCCAGACUCCUACGGGAGGCAGCAGUGGGGAAUUUUCCGCAAUGGGCGCAAGCCUGACGGAGCAACGCCGCGUGAGGGAUGAAGGCCUCUGGGCUGUAAACCUCUUUUCUCAAGGAAGAAGAACUGACGGUACUUGAGGAAUAAGCCACGGCUAA
RNAcentral lists this ribosomal RNA (373 nucleotides) under uncultured bacterium. RNAcentral's name for it is "bacterial SSU rRNA". It matches the Rfam family "Bacterial small subunit ribosomal RNA", at positions 93 to 500 of the family's 1533-position model. The record is from RNAcentral.